GACGAACCACACGAACGUUAUUCGGAAUUACUGGGCUUAAAGGGUGCGUAGGCUGUGCGGAAAGUUAGGUGUGAAAUCCCCCGGCUCAACCGGGGAAUAGCGCUUAAAGCUACCGUGCUGGAGGAAGACAGAGGUGAGCGGAACUUCGGGUGGAGCGGUGAAAUGCGUUGAUAUCCGAAGGAACACCGGUGGCGAAAGCGGCUCACUGGGUCUUUUCUGACGCUGAUGCACGAAAGCUAGGGGAGCAAUCGGG
This 253-nucleotide ribosomal RNA is filed under the name uncultured bacterium. RNAcentral describes it as "partial 16S ribosomal RNA". It matches the Rfam family "Bacterial small subunit ribosomal RNA", at positions 524 to 776 of the family's 1533-position model. The record is from RNAcentral.